Molecule: non-coding RNA, 184 nt
Filed under: Desulfococcus multivorans
Lineage: Bacteria; Pseudomonadati; Thermodesulfobacteriota; Desulfobacteria; Desulfobacterales; Desulfococcaceae
Source: RNAcentral
CUGCGGCAAUAUCGAUCAGGUGCUCAUUAUUGAGCCGAACAGGGAACCCCGUGGAAUUCGGGGACGGGCCCGCCGCUGUGAUCGGGGACGAAAGCCGCAAUAUGCCACUGGCCGAAAGGCCGGGAAGGUGCGGCCGGUAGGAUGAUCCGAGAGUCAGAAGACCUGCCUGAAACGAGAUGCGCGA